AUUGAACGCUGGCGGCAUGCUUUACACAUGCAAGUCGAACGGUAACAGGCCUUCGGGUGCUGACGAGUGGCGAACGGGUGAGUGAUGCAUCGGAACGUGCCCAGGGGUGGGGGAUAACGCAGCGAAAGCUGUGCUAAUACCGCAUGUGAUCUGAGGAUGAAAGCGGGGGACCAGGCAGCAAUGUUUGGCCUCGCGCCUUUGGAGCGGCCGAUGUCAGAUUAGGUAGUUGGUGGGGUAAAGGCCUACCAAGCCGACGAUCUGUAGCUGGUCUGAGAGGACGACCAGCCACACUGGGACUGAGACACGGCCCAGACUCCUACGGGAGGCAGCAGUGGGGAAUUUUGGACAAUGGGCGCAAGCCUGAUCCAGCAAUGCCGCGUGCGGGAAGAAGGCCUUCGGGUUGUAAACCGCUUUUGUACGGAACGAAAAGGCUCUGGCUAAUACCUGGGGCUGAUGACGGUACCGUAAGAAUAAGCACCGGCUAACUACGUG
RNAcentral lists this ribosomal RNA (492 nucleotides) under uncultured bacterium. RNAcentral's name for it is "partial 16S ribosomal RNA". It matches the Rfam family "Bacterial small subunit ribosomal RNA", at positions 30 to 507 of the family's 1533-position model. The record is from RNAcentral.